RNAcentral lists this ribosomal RNA (506 nucleotides) under uncultured bacterium. Its description in RNAcentral is "partial 16S ribosomal RNA". It matches the Rfam family "Bacterial small subunit ribosomal RNA", at positions 29 to 523 of the family's 1533-position model. The record is from RNAcentral.
AGUGAACGCUGGCGGUAGGCCUAACACAUGCAAGUCGAACGGCAGCACAGGAGAGCUUGCUCUCUGGGUGGCGAGUGGCGGACGGGUGAGGAAUACAUCGGAAUCUACUCUGUCGUGGGGGAUAACGUAGGGAAACUUACGCUAAUACCGCAUACGACCUACGGGUGAAAGCAGGGGACCUUCGGGCCUUGCGCGAUUGAAUGAGCCGAUGUCGGAUUAGCUAGUUGGCGGGGUAAAGGCCCACCAAGGCGACGAUCCGUAGCUGGUCUGAGAGGAUGAUCAGCCACACUGGAACUGAGACACGGUCCAGACUCCUACGGGAGGCAGCAGCGGGGAAUAUUGGACAAUGGGCGCAAGCCUGAUCCAGCCAUACCGCGUGGGUGAAGAAGGCCUUCUGGUUGUAAAGCCCUUUUGUUGGGAACGAAAUCCAGCUGGCUAAUACCCGGUUGGGAUGACGGUACCCAAAGAAUAAGCACCGGCUAACUUCGUGCCAGCCGCCGCCGUAA